GAUGAAGACGCAGCGAAAUGCGAUAAGUAGUGUGAAUUGCAGAAUUCAGUGAAUCAUCGAAUCUUUGAACGCACAUUGCGCCCCUUGGUAUUCCAUGGGGCAUGCCUGUUCGAGCGUCAUUUGUACCCUCAAGCUAUGCUUGGUGUUGGGUGUUUGUCCUCUCCUUUGCGAUUGGACUCGCCUUAAAGACAUUGGCAGCCAGUGUAUUGGUCUUGAAGCGCAGCACAUUUUGCGAUUCUUGCUGAUAAUCACUAGCGUCCAGUAAGCCUAUUUUAACACUUUUGACCUCGGAUCAGGUAGGGAUACCCGCUGAACUUAAGCAUAUCAAUAAGCGGAGGA
RNAcentral lists this unclassified non-coding RNA (339 nucleotides) under soil metagenome. Its description in RNAcentral is "partial contains 5.8S ribosomal RNA, internal transcribed spacer 2, and large subunit ribosomal RNA". The stretch from base 1 to 119 matches the Rfam family "5.8S ribosomal RNA", at positions 35 to 154 of the family's 154-position model. The record is from RNAcentral.